UAUACUGCGUGUAGGUAUCAGUGCAUGC
This 28-nucleotide small RNA is filed under the name Bombyx mori (domestic silkworm). Its description in RNAcentral is "ovarian small RNA-23352". The record is from RNAcentral. Lineage: Eukaryota; Metazoa; Arthropoda; Insecta; Lepidoptera; Bombycidae.